Danio rerio (zebrafish) is the source of this 1477-nucleotide non-coding RNA. NCBI's taxonomy places the organism in Eukaryota, Metazoa, Chordata, Actinopteri, Cypriniformes, Danionidae. The record is from Ensembl.
UCAUUUUUAUUCCUUUGUUUUUUUCCUUGUGUAUAUAUAGAUCUAUUUUUUGUUCCUUUUUUUCUACAUACAAGUCCAUUUUUAAAGUAUGUCGUCAUGCUGGGUGCAGCUUCGGUGAAGUAGCUCAUGCAGGUGACCCAUGUGGAUAUUACGAAGGACAGGCAAAAGACGGGGUGGACCAAGUCCGAGAUCGAGCUUGACCACCGCCGAACUCCACUGUACAGUCACCAAAUCACAAGACGUUUAGAAACGGGCCGGUCAGGACCAGGGGGGACGAAAGUCAGGACUUUUCGUGAAGACACGGCUCAGAUUCCCAAAAGAACAACAACAAAAAAAGGGAAGAAAAACGUGACAUCAUCCACUGGCGCCAUCUUGCGCCAUCAAAAUCCCCCCCAAAACAGACAGCAGGAGAGGUGAAAAUGAAAAUAAAAUGAUGCAAAAGAAAGAAACUAUAUUUUUUUCAUAAGUCUCCCGUCCUUGAAAAAUGUCACCAGCAGAAAGAUCUACUUUUUGCUGAGCCACAUUUACGUAGAACCGACUGUGCUCAUUAAUUUCAGGCCGUAAUCGUUUCCAUUAGAGCAAAAAGGAGCCAAAGUCUACAGUCAUUAAUCAUUACAGUACUGCAGAUCCCUGAACGCUCACAUGGGUCCGUCAGAAAAUACAUUACAGGACAAGGACACGGCCGCCCUGGCAUUUCGAGACCUUAAAAACGAAAAUGCAUGUUGCUUUUUGAGUGGAAAAACAAAAUGAAAAUUAGUAGCACAUACGGAAGGGGUCUAACUGUAUCAGAGAGGGUCACGAUAUAUUUACAGCAGUACAUCCAUCUGUGAACCAGAAUACUGAGAAAGACAAUCCUGUCCUAAAUCCAGUCCUGACUGAUCCAACUCAAAUGCACAUCUUGGAAAAAGAAUACAAAUAAAAAUACAUUAGCAAAUAUAAAAACAACACAACUCAAACCGAGGCAGGACCGUAAAAUGCUGAACAAUCUUUGCACCAAUAACCGUUUUGUUUUUUAAAAAAUACUCUCAAUUUGUUUAAACGCUUCCAAAGGAAAAUAAAUUGACAUCUUUGGUGAAGAUUCCACAGCAAUCUCUCAGUCUUGUUGCCGAAACUUCUCUGCAGAAUGCCGACUGGGCUCAGCAGCAGGUACACAGAACAAACACACUCAAACCAACGGACAAACUCGCAUACUGCUGGUUUCUUUAAAAGAUUUAAAAUCAACAAAAUAUCCUGCUGGAGAAACCUGAUGCCAUCGAAGGGGGGUUGGGGAAUGGAAUGAUAGCAUUGGCAGAGUGUGAUGAGACAAAACAAAGCAGCAUUUAGUACUAAUACCACAAUAUACUUGUCAGACACCAAGUAGGGAUUCUGUAUAUUUUAAACUGAAACACUUGCCAAUUUGGUAUUGGACGUUUCAUGGCUAAAUUUGGCGCAUCAGGACUACCAAACCAUUCUGGAGGACCAUGUGUACCCAAUGGUU